RNAcentral lists this ribosomal RNA (433 nucleotides) under uncultured bacterium. RNAcentral describes it as "partial 16S ribosomal RNA". It matches the Rfam family "Bacterial small subunit ribosomal RNA", at positions 29 to 507 of the family's 1533-position model. The record is from RNAcentral.
AACGAACGCUGGCGGCAUGCCUAACACAUGCAAGUCGAACGAGACCUUCGGGUCUAGUGGCGCACGGGUGCGUAACGCGUGGGAACCUGCCCUUAGGUUCGGAAUAACUCCCCGAAAGGGGUGCUAAUACCGGAUAAUGUCUUCGGACCAAAGAUUUAUCGCCUUUGGAUGGGCCCGCGUUGGAUUAGCUAGUUGGUAGGGUAAAAUCCUACCAAGGCGACGAUCCAUAGCUGGUCUGAGAGGAUGAUCAGCCACACUGGGACUGAGACACGGCCCAGAGUCGUACGGGAGGGGGGAGUGGGGAAGAUUGGACAGUGGGGGGAGGCGUGAUCCAGCAAUGCCGGGUGAGUGAUGAAGGCCUUAGGGUUGUAAAGCUCUUUUACCCGGGAUGAUAAUGACAGUACCGGGAGAAUAAGCUCCGGCUAACUCCGUG